Molecule: long non-coding RNA, 2225 nt
Filed under: Rattus norvegicus (Norway rat)
Lineage: Eukaryota; Metazoa; Chordata; Mammalia; Rodentia; Muridae
Description: long non-coding RNA NONRATT016653
Source: RNAcentral
AUUAGUGAGAAUCGAGUAGCAGGUGAGGUGUUCAGAGCUGGGGCUCGAGCAGGGACAACACCAGGCUUAGGACUCCAGUAAAGCUGCUACAGGGACACCAGUGUUAAUUCAGGGCUGUAGAUUAAUGCAGUUAAUUGUAGACCCUACAUUUGCAUCUUGGUUGUAAGUCUUUCACCCCAGUAGAGAAAAAAAUGUUACAACUUCUGUUUUUCCUGGCUUCAGGAAAUUCAUGACAGAUAUAUAAUGUGCCUUUCCUCCAUGUUCCUGCCUCUGGGCAGUGCCAGAGCAGAGCCCUCAUGGCUGACAUAGGAGAAAACAGCUUUAUGGAGUUUUUGCUCUGAACUCUGUGCCUUAAAAGAUAUUUUUCUGUCAGAUGUAUAUUUACUUUAUUUUGUUUUGUUUCCAGUCUUACUAUGUAGCUCUGGCUGCCUAGAACUUGCUGUGUAGACCAGGCUGGCUCAAAUGUAUAGAGAACCCCCUGCUUCUGCCGUCCCCUCCUGAGUGCUGGGAUUAAAGGCACCCUAUCCCUUUGCUGGGUGCAUCUCAGUGUAUUUGUAUGUAAGUACAUAAUGGAUCUUCCAGUUUUCUCUUUGAGGUUAAGCUCUAAAUUAUCUGGGAUAACCUGGAAGCUUACUAAGUUACAUAGAAAGGGUUUCUUUGAAUUCCCUUAAUCCAAAGGGAGGUACAUGGAAUGCUGGGAGGGUUGGGGGAGGGGGAGCACUGAGUAAGGAUCACUGUGGGAGUUGAGGCCCAGGGAGAUGGUCCAUGCUCAGGGGAAAGCAAGCAAAUACAAAGACACCAUGCAGUGCACAGUGACAGGGAUCAAAGUGAGCUUCCCCUCCAUGGCUGGUUGCCUUUUAUGCCUGUUGAAGCUUCCUUGACACUUCAAAAACCCCUCAGAGCCAGGCAUGGGUACACCUUUAAUAUCAUGGCUCUCUGAGUUCCAGGCCAGCUAGGGCUAUACAGUGAGACCUGUCUCAAUGAGAAAUGAAAAGCCCUCUAGCUUCCAGGCAGGAAAACCCAGAUGAGGGGCUGCAAACGGACAGACACCCUGGGUUCUGCAUUCCCAGCUCAGGAUCUCAUGUUGAGAGAUAACUCACUCUGAGAAUGGUGAAGCGGUCAUUGCCUAACAUCCGCCACUUCUAAUGCUGUAACAGCCGAGGCAGGUGGUGAACUCUUGUCAGAAGUUGAAGAGUGAGCAGGAGUCACUUUUUUGUCCCAGUUUAUUGGAGACUAGCUUGCUGUUCUCUACUCGAGCAGAUGAAUUUACGCCAAGACUCCCAGCACGCACUUUAUGCUCUUACCUCUGUUUUGUGUUUUGUUUUCUUUCCUUGAAUUGGGGUCUCACACUAGCCCAGGACUCCCAGCAAUCCUUGUGCCUUAAUCUCCCAUGUACUAAGAUUACAGACUGAGCCACCAUGCCAGACCGGCUCUAGCUCCAUUUACCAUGGUGCCUCUACACUUUUCAGACUUUGUACUCCAUUUUCUGUUACUUUACUUACCAGGAGACCAAAAGCAAGAAGGAUGUGAAUUAGAAUUAAAUAGCUUUGAGCCUCUGGUGCUGCCCUUUUAAACAUUUUAACCUCUCUAGGGUUAGGGGGAGGAAGAUAAUUCCUAAACUCUAUACAAGUAAUUAGGUGUGUUAAUAGCAGGAAAUUGUGAUCCUCUCUACUCCCCACCCUACUACUGUUUCUGCUGUCCCACGGCUCUUGUCUUUGGAAGGUUUUGCCAGGCACUGGAACCUAAUUAGUCGGUCAUCUCUAAUCUGUGGGACUCACCUUUCCUUUCUCUCCUCCUUCCCAACCACAUACUUUGUUCUGAGGUGAUUUGUUUCUGAGAACUAACUAGGUUACCCCUCUGUUCCCACGUAGUUUCUGGCGUCUCGCUAUGUCAACUGUUACAGUAGCAACUGUGCUCGCUGGCCUGGCCCAGUGUGUGCUCUGCCAAGGCCAUGGAGAGGAGGGUGCCCCGGGGUUCUUCUCAGUGUUGCCUUGGUUUUCAAGUUGUCCGGCAGCUUUAUGUAUAGUAAACUUUCAGGAAAACAAAAGUUUCUUUUUUAUUUAGGAUAAACAGUUUGAUUCUGAUGCACAAGCUUCCGUGUAUAUGUGUGUGGAUGAGCAUCUCUGUAUGUAUACCUAUAUAGAUCUAUAUUAUAUAUACAAUUUUGUACUAUCGUUUAAAAUAAAGACAUUUCUUAAUAAAAUGUCAGUGUUGUUAAAUUCUUU